AUUGAACGCUGGCGGCAGGCCUAACACAUGCAAGUCGAGCGGUAGCACAGAGAGCUUGCUCUCGGGUGACGAGAGGCGGACGGGUGAGUAACACGUAUCCAAUCUACCCUUAGGUUGGGGAUAACUGGUCGAAAGACUAGCUAAUACCGAAUAUCAAUACUCCUAUCGCAUGAGAAAGUAUUGAAAGAUCCUUUUGGAUCGCCUUUGGAUGAGGGUGCGGCAUAUCAGAUAGUUGGUGAGGUAACGGCUCACCAAGUCAAUGACGUGUAGCUGUACUGAGAGGUAAAACAGCCACAAUGGGACUGAGACACGGCCCAUACUCCUACGGGAGGCAGCAGUAGGGAAUUUUUCACAAUGGGCGAAAGCCUGAUGGAGCAAUGCCGCGUGAAUGAUGAAGGUCUUACAGAUUGUAAAAUUCUUUUAUUUGGGAAGAACGACCACGAUAGGAAAUGAUCGUGGAAUGACUGUACCAUUUGAAUAAGUAUCGGCUAACUAUGUGCCAGCCGCCGCGGUAACAC
This 518-nucleotide ribosomal RNA is filed under the name uncultured bacterium. RNAcentral's name for it is "bacterial SSU rRNA". It matches the Rfam family "Bacterial small subunit ribosomal RNA", at positions 30 to 526 of the family's 1533-position model. The record is from RNAcentral.